RNAcentral lists this ribosomal RNA (495 nucleotides) under uncultured bacterium. RNAcentral describes it as "partial 16S ribosomal RNA". It matches the Rfam family "Bacterial small subunit ribosomal RNA", at positions 28 to 507 of the family's 1533-position model. The record is from RNAcentral.
GACGAACGCUGGCGGCGUGCCUAAUACAUGCAAGUAGAACGCUGAAGGAGGAGCUUGCUUCUCUGGAUGAGUUGCGAACGGGUGAGUAACGCGUAGGUAACCUGCCUGGUAGCGGGGGAUAACUAUUGGAAACGAUAGCUAAUACCGCAUAAGAGUAGAUGUUGCAUGACAUUUGCUUAAAAGGUGCAAUUGCAUCACUACCAGAUGGACCUGCGUUGUAUUAGCUAGUUGGUGGGGUAACGGCUCACCAAGGCGACGAUACAUAGCCGACCUGAGAGGGGGAUCGGCCAGACUGGGACUGAGACACGGCCCAGACUCCUACGGGAGGCAGCAGUAGGGAAUCUUCGGCAAUGGGCGGAAGUCUGACCGAGCAACGCCGCGUGAGUGAAGAAGGUUUUCGGAUCGUAAAGCUCUGUUGUAAGAGAAGAACGAGUGUGAGAGUGGAAAGUUCACACUGUGACGGUAUCUUACCAGAAAGGGACGGCUAACUACGUG